This is a non-coding RNA of Peromyscus maniculatus bairdii (prairie deer mouse), 1230 nucleotides long. The record is from RefSeq and is a predicted model, not a curated record. NCBI's taxonomy places the organism in Eukaryota, Metazoa, Chordata, Mammalia, Rodentia, Cricetidae.
AUGAGAGAAGGGAUGAUGAAGCCCCCCUCCCCCAGCUUAGAAGCUAUUGUUAAUGGAUGGCUGCUAGAGUAAGGAUGGUCAAUUUUGUUCAUAGAAGCAACCCAAGAGAGGCUACCCAUGCUCCAGUAGAUACACCAAGUACUACAGACUACAGGAAGUGAAUCAAUGGGUUUAAAAAGAGAACACGUGAACAUGACUGAAGAGGAGUAAAUAAAAGAUCAAAUGCUAGAAGCCAGGCAGAACAACAUUCGCCAUCGCUUAUAACAAGGACCUCUUACUGUUAUACACAUGAGAGAAGAUUGUAUCGCAUUUACAUGACUCUCCUGAUUUAUGGACUGGGAUAAAUAUAUUAUACCAUUUAGUUCUGGCAGUCUUCAGAAAAAGUGAUUGCUAAGGCUUGGUGAUGGGGAGGGAAGCUAUCUGCUACAAGUCUACAGACAUGGAAAGUAUUAAGUCCUCUACACACGAAUAUUCUCUGAUGUGAUUACCCGGUCUUCUAUACCGUGGGUGGCAAGAGGCCAAAGGAACGUGAGCUUGACUUGACCUUUUGAUAAGGUGGAUUGUGCCAUUUUGCAGUCAAAGAGGAAGAAGAACAAGCUAGCUCCAGAAAGCAAGUAAUUUGUGAAUCAAGAGAACAGAGAAAGAGCAAAGUGCUAAUUAGGAAGGACCUCAGUAAAGGAAUCAACUCCCCUGAUAAAAGGAUCCUUCUGUUUUCGUUAACAACUAUUGGCAGCAAGGUAAUGCAAUAGCCAAGCUCAGAUUUUAGAGACUUGCUUGUCUGACUCUAUAAUGUGCCACUGUCUCACUUGGCCACAGGGGUCCAGCGCCCUUACAAAAUGAAAGCAAAUUUCUCCUGGAAGGGAGCCAACUGGCAGCUGACAGAGUAGGAUUUUUGUUGAGUUGCAGCCAAAAGUUCAACUUGGAAAUAUGAGACCAGACCGUAUACAGACCAGUAGGUGGACUUUGGUGAGCAAAAAGGCAACACAUGGCCUACUCUAUAUGAAGAUUAUUGAAACAUUGGACAAAAAUCUGUAUUCAAGUUCUGACCGGACUGAUGUGAAACACUUCCUUGGUCGAUAAGAGGUAAAUCAUUGCACUUUUAUAAAAAAUAAUGAUAUAGAAUAAAGUGAUAGUGGUUGAAAAUAAAUGAAGGGAGAAAUAUGUACAGCUACUAGGUGAAUCACAGAGACAUAUUGAAAUAAGCCAGGAGCAUCUGCUGGUACAAGAACG